RNAcentral lists this long non-coding RNA (1338 nucleotides) under Mastacembelus armatus (zig-zag eel). RNAcentral describes it as "lncRNA (ENSMAMG00000006950.2)". The record is from RNAcentral. Lineage: Eukaryota; Metazoa; Chordata; Actinopteri; Synbranchiformes; Mastacembelidae.
CUCCUCUUCCUUUUCUCUUGCCCUCCUCUCUUCUGAGUUUUGACUCCCUCUCUUUUUACAAACACACUCUGGAAGAUGAAGCGUGGGUCGAGUGUGUUGCAGCCUCCCUCUGAUGCAGCCAAACGACACACACUCCCUGCAAACACACACUCAGCGACACACACCGCCGAUGAUGCUCGCUCACUGAGUGUGUCCGACGCGCACGCCACAGGUUCAAGUCCCUUCCCAGCAGCCACUUCUCUGUUCAGCCCUGAUGUCAGCAUCAAGAUGGCGUCUGACCUCCUCAUCAGGCUGUCAGAGGCCACACAGAAGGUCCAGGUGCAUCCUGGGAGCCGAGCGGAGGCGGAGCCUCAGCGGCGUGAGGUGCACGGGGGGCAGCAGGACGAGCCUGGCCUCGCUCUGUCGCCGGACGGCCCUGGGGCGAGUCCCGAGCCGCCGUCCCUCACGCACACACCUGAGGGCAACGCCGCCAUGGACACACUGGCUUCAGACCUGCUGAGGAAACUGGCAGAGCGUCAGCAGGUGAGCUGCCAUGGGGUGAGGGUCAAAGAAGAAGACGAGCCAAUGGAAGUCGACUCACUGGUGGCUGUUGACCUUAUACGUGAUCGGCCAAUCACAAAAGAGACGACCAAAUCUACUCCACAGAUGGCGAACCGCCAUCGCUUCACCCUUAAAACAGAAGACCAGGGUCUCAGUCGCAACAAGAUGGUCGAGCAGGUGCACCCUGGAGCCAAAAUGGCAGAGAAGCAUCUCCUUGGCCUUAAAAUAGAAGAAAAUGCUUUAACAGGAGGCAGCCGGCCUGACCCUAAGUCAGGUGACACUGUCGUCUCUGGAGCCAGCAAGUUUCAGUUCAGAGUGAAAAUGGAGGAUCAUGGCAUCUCUGGGACCAAGAUGGAGGACCAUCUUCUCUCUGGAGCCAAGAUGGAGGACCAGCUUCUACUUAAAGCUAAAAUUGCAGAGCGACCUUUCUCCGGAGCGAAGAUGAACAACAGGUUCCUUCCUGCAGUCAAGAUGGAGGACAGGUUCUCCUCUGGAGUCAAAAAGGAGAAACAGCUUCUCUCUGGGACCAAGACCGAGAACCAGCUCCUGCCUGGUGCCCCGUUGGUGGACCAGGUUUUUUCCAGAGCAAACACAGAGGAACAGCUUUUCUGCGGCGCCAAGAUGGAAGACCAAUUCACCUCUGGAGCCAAGAUGGCCGACCAAUGCCUCAGAGCCGUGCUGUGGCAGGACAUGUCAGUGAACCUGGCAUCCACGCUGCUGCAUCAGCUCUCAGAGAGGGUCAGUAACUCCAACAAUCAGCUGAUGGAGAGGAUGACUCCGCCCAUCAGAAGCAGGUAA